AUGGGGGGAGGGGGGCUCCAGCACGCGCACCCCCAGAGGGGCCAGCGGGGCAGGGGGGCGCAGACGGCGUCCUCGGCUCCUUGGCACAGCCAUCUUGGAAAGCAGCAUGGAAAUUCCCCGAGAAAUAGGACGGCUCCGCCCAUCCCCCAGCUCCAGGUCUGGGCGCCCGUCCGGGGUGACCUGCGCCUCCGAGGCACCGGCAGCAGCCACACCGCCAUGGGCACCACAGCGCGCUCACAGCAGCCGAGGCUGGGGAUCGGCCCUGGUCCACGGGCAGGCGAACGGGUGAAGACCAUGUGGCGCAUACACACGACGGGUGCCACCCGGCUUAAAAACCACCAAACCCAUCCCGUGCGGCGGCACAGGUGGACAAAGCCACACAGAGGGGCUGGGUCCCAUGCCAUCUCACUGACGCCACAGGAGCAGUGGGGAGCAGGGGCGAGGGUCGGGGAGGUGCAGGUGCAAGGGCAAGGCCACCAGCGCAGGACGGCAGGUCCUGGAGACCUAGUACAGCGGCCGACCUACGCCGAGAUCCCGCGCCUGCGCAGUCGCCACACAAGGCCAGGACCCUGCGCCUGCGCUCAGAGCUCGCCAGAGAGAUGGCCAAGCACACAACACAGAAACCACACAAAGUCAGCACCACACACCUCAAACUUUUCACACGGAUGUACCGCAAAGGCCCACAGGGACACCCGCCCGGAGCGCCGGGGGCCGCCUCUCGCAGAGUCACGCGGGACUGCUGCACCUGCCGCGGCCUCGCCCCAGCCCCACGCUGGUGCACCUGCUGGUGCACCUGCGCGCUACGAGCCUAAGCUUGGGCUGCUCGGAGCCCAGUGCUGCUGUUUCCCUUGGAGGGGUCUUGUCUCCUCUCCAACCCAAGUGACACAGAAGCCUCGGGUCAACCGGAGCGUUCUAAGGACGGAGACGCUUUCUGCUGGGCUCGGAGGAAAGGAGCCAGCCGUGAGCCCGGCAGUACAGCGCGCGGGGCUGCAAUGGAGCCCGCCGUGA
RNAcentral lists this long non-coding RNA (1008 nucleotides) under Oryctolagus cuniculus (rabbit). RNAcentral describes it as "lncRNA (ENSOCUG00000031939.1)". Lineage: Eukaryota; Metazoa; Chordata; Mammalia; Lagomorpha; Leporidae. The record is from RNAcentral.